RNAcentral lists this ribosomal RNA (253 nucleotides) under uncultured bacterium. RNAcentral's name for it is "partial 16S ribosomal RNA". It matches the Rfam family "Bacterial small subunit ribosomal RNA", at positions 524 to 776 of the family's 1533-position model. The record is from RNAcentral.
UACGUGGGGGGCAAGCGUUGUUCGGAAUUACUGGGCGUAAAGGGUUUGUAGGCGGCUUGUUAAGUCAGAUGUGAAAUCCCUCAGCUUAACUGGGGAACUGCGUCUGAUACUGUCGAGCUUGAGUGCAGGAGAGGAACGCGGAAUUCCAGGUGUAGCGGUGAAAUGCGUAGAUAUCUGGAGGAACACCGGUGGCGAAGGCGGCGUUCUGGACUGCAACUGACACUGAGAAACGAAAGCCAGGGUAGCAAACGGG